This 886-nucleotide long non-coding RNA is filed under the name Marmota monax (woodchuck). The record is from RNAcentral. Lineage: Eukaryota; Metazoa; Chordata; Mammalia; Rodentia; Sciuridae.
CAAGUUUCCAGCACAUGAAUUUGGGGGAUAUGUUCAAAUCAUAGCAUGUUCCAAAUAAAAAAUGAAAUGAGUAUAUCCUUAUGAGGCUCGAGUUGAGGCCCCUGGGGAACCAGCAGUCAUGGAGGAAGGAGCUAGGGACUGCCACAUGGUGAGGCCAAUUUCACUCAGACUCACCGCUGGCUUGUUAGGACCAACUCUGUGAACCUUUUUUCUAAGACUUAAUUUUUCUCACCUAAAACAGCCAUGCCACCCUGCAUAGAGGUGGAGACUUGGGUGUACCUCUGUUGAAGACAGCCCUCUAGUGGUCUACAAGGGUAAGGCUUUCAGAUUGCAGCCCAAGUUAAUUUUUUGUGUCAACUUGGUCAGGCUAUGGUACCCAGAUAUUUGCUCAAACAGUAAACUAGAUGUUACUGUGAGAUUAUUUUUUUAAGAUGAGAUUAACAUUUAAAUCAGACUUUGAGUAGGUUGCCCUGUAGAGUGUGGGUGGGCCUCAUGCAAUCAGUGAAAGAUCUUGAGAUAAAAGACUGAGGACCCCUGCAGUAGAAGGAGUUCUACUUCUGGCCUGCUUUUGGACUUAACUGCACAUGAACCAAGUCCUUAAAACAAAUUUCUUUCUCCAUCUACAUAGGUGUGUGUGUGUGUGUGUGUGUGUGUGUGUAUGUGUAUGACUACUUAUACAUAUGUACAGUCAGACAUCUAUAUCUGCAGUUUCUUCACUUGCUAAACCAACCGUGAAUCAAAAAAUAAUUUUAAAAAAUUCCAGAAGGUUCUUAAAAGCAAAACUUGCAUUUGUAUGCAACCAGCACUAUACUGAAUCCACAUGAAUGCAGAGGUGUGUGGACACGUGUUCUGUAGCUCCUGCCAUUCACGGAUCCUCAGUCUGUCC